ACACUGGUGGUGAAACGGUAUCAUGCUUGCCUUCCAGCAUUGGCAUCGUCCAACUGUAAGCAAGCGGCAGGGGUUCGACUCCCCUUCAGUGUA
This is a non-coding RNA of Mycena vitilis, 93 nucleotides long. Lineage: Eukaryota; Fungi; Basidiomycota; Agaricomycetes; Agaricales; Mycenaceae. The record is from the annotation of a GenBank genome assembly.